ACACAAAGGUGGAAUAUGCUUCCUGGUCGUAACGCCAAGUGGCGCGCACAGAUUGCAGGGCGCAGUGCCCAACUAGCUCGGCCCCUCGGCUUCCGCCAUUGGCGGUGCCACUCAGCUCACCUAAGCACUCUCUUGACGUGGUGUCUCUCUCUCCGGUGGCGUAUAUUGUCCAUACUGUUGAUUGAUCCUCUCAAUCUCAAGGUUUCUAUCCCUGUUGAAGUAUUACUGUAUUAAUUGUCCAGCAGAGGCGACUGAGAUCAAUUGCCGCCUUGGAUGUUGCUCGUCGGGAGUUUUGUUAAUGAGGUUUGUUUUUGUCCCACCGAGCAGGUGUUCCGGAAAAUCAGUUCUAUUAAUCGUCACUCCGGCGGUGAAGUUUGGAAAAAUCGGUAUUUUUGGUGGUGUCGAUGGGAUGCAGUUUUGAUUUAGGGUUUUGAUUGACUGCCUACUUUCAGAUUUUGGUGCCAUCACUGCCAUGGGUCGACGCACGUUCUUCACGGAAGAGAAAGAGAAUUGUGAACUGAGAUGGCCAUGAAUGGUGGUUUGAUGAACAAUUAGUGGGGAGGAAUGAGGGAGAACUGGAGCAGGGUUGGGGGUGGGGGGGAAUGGCCUUGUGGCUAUGUCCUAUUCAUCUUCGUUGAUGACCUCGAAGAGCAUCAUCAGAGAGCCAAACGGAAACAUUAAUUUCAGAAAAGCAAUUUCAAAGGGAAACAACAAAACAGAUGUGGCAAACAAAUUCAAAAGCCAAAAUUGAAAAGAGAGUGAGGUUUUCGAGGCAGACAGCAAGAGCACCAUUAUAGAGGUCAGAGCAAUUUCGGGGGAGGGGAGACACAGAGGCAUAAGAAAUCUAAAGAAGGAUUUAUUCCCCUUUGUAUUUGCUGGCUGUCUGCAGUAGCUAGCAAUUAGGGACUGUGACAAAACAAAUUCAAAGACCCAUUUGAUACCAUACCUGGAGUCCGCAGGGCCUGUGACAAAACAGCAACGGCGAGAAGCCGCAGCACGCGCCCGAACUCAUCUGUGAUGCACUAUUUAUUGCAGAGCCGCAGACAAGGAGUAGGAAGGUGAGAAUCACGAGUCACAACAGAGGGUUGGCCAUGCCUGCGCUGAUUCUGCCUCAGGCUUGCUAAGGAAACCCAAGGUUUAAUAAGGGAACUGGCUCACAAUAGGAAGAGAAUAAUUGUGGGACAUUCAAAAAUUCAAAUUGGGAACGUGGGGCGCAUUAAUGUCAUGCGUCAAGUACUCAUUAACAAAGGUUCAUUCUGUUCCCCCCACCCCCCAUCCUUUUCGUCUGUCUCUGAAACUUCCAUAGAUAGGGAGAGCCAAAUUUGGAAAAGAAAACUAGAAAAGUUGGUUUUUAUUUUUAUUUUUUGGGGAUUUUUUAGUUCUUUUGUUAUUGCGGUUUGAAUUUAUAUUUUUUUUAGAAAGAUGGUUUGAAUAA
Molecule: long non-coding RNA, 1435 nt
Organism: Malania oleifera
Lineage: Eukaryota; Viridiplantae; Streptophyta; Magnoliopsida; Santalales; Ximeniaceae
Exons: 2
Source: RefSeq, a predicted model, not a curated record